AAGUUUAAAAUUUAUCAUAUAUAUCAUGUUUUGUUAUAUUUUUAAGUAAUUUCUUCAUUUUAUUUAUGAUUGUGUAUGUAGUUGUGGUUUUUAAGUUUUAAAUUUAUCAUAAUUUUUUUUAUAGUUUGUAAGUUAGGUUUAAUCAGGGUUAAUUAGUGUUAAAGAAUUGGGUACUAAACCUGGUCAAUAUCCUGUUUGCCAUUUCUUUCCUGAUGAUAAUCUUCUUUGGGUCCCACUAAGGAAUGGGAGGGGAGUUUUUAGUUAAGGUUAUUAAUAAUUGGAUAAUGAAUGAUUAAUGAUAUGAUCUUGUGGUUUAUGUUAUAAAUGAAUAAAUAUUGUGUUGGUGUUCGACUUUGAAAGUCAAUCACCGUAGAAUUACUGGUAUUUAUAUGUGUAAGAUAAGUUUGUAAUCAAUGUAUGUAGGCUGGUGCCUUAUGAAAUAAAAUUAUGUUGUUAUGUUUUGUUAUUAUUGUUGUUAUUAUCAUCGAUCUAAUUAGAGCAUUUGUUUAAAGUAUAUAUGUUUAAAAGUUGUGUAUUAAUUUUGUUUUGAAUCAAUUAAUCACACUAAUUAGGAUGACAAACGAUCGUUCUUGGAUGUAUGGCAGCAUUGAAUCGUCGGAAUUUAUUGAUGGCGUAUUAGAAUUUUGUAGUAUUGCGGUUGAACAUCAAGUUAGGACGGGGGGAGUUGGUUUUUAUUGCCCAUGUGUCAGUUGUGGCAAUGUAUCAAAGGUAGAUAGUGUUGAUAUCCUUAGGGAGCACAUACUUCGACGUGGGUUUAGGCCUCAAUAUCAUGUUUGGGUUUGGCAUGGUGAGGAGGGAGUUUACAAAGAGAAAAGUGUUGUUGAGGAUGUCAAUAAUGUGGCCGAUGUCAAUGAGGAUGUAGUAGAUCAUGUUGAUGGGUAUGAGACAGAUGAAGAGAAUGUCGAUGAGGACGUGGAUCGUGUUGAUGAGAUGAUGGAGGGAGUCGAGGAUGAGUUAGGAAAACGUCCUCGUGUUUUUGACUUGUUGAUAGAGGCUUCUCAAAAGCCUUUGUACCCUGGAUGUACAAAGUUCACCAAACUAACAGCAGUGUUGACAAUUUUCAACAUUAAAUCAAAGUUCAAUUGGAGUGACGCUAGUUUCACAAUGUUAUUAGAAGCGUUAGGUGAGAUGCUUCCUGAGGGAAAUGAACUUCCAAAGUCGACAUAUUAUGCCCAAAAAGCUCAUGUGUCCUUUCGGCUUAGAGUACCAGAAGAUUCAUGCGUGUCCGAAUGAUUGUGUGUUGUAUCGGAAUGAAAACGAGAACUUAGAAGAGUGUCCUAGGUGUGGGUUAUCGCGCUACAAGCGUAAAAGGGCUCGGGAUGCUAAAGGGCCCCCGGCUAAGGUAUUGUGGUAUCUUCCAAUAAUACCUAGAUUCAAGCGCUUGUUUUCUAUAAAAAAAGAUGCGUUAAAUUUGAGGUGGCAUGCAGAUAGGGUGAAGAAAGGUCACUUGCUCACACAUCCAUCUGAUUCUCGGGAGUGGAAGAGUAUUGAUAGGUUGCAUAAGACUUUUGGGGAUGAGGUUCGUAAUUUAAGGCUCGGACUGUGUACGGAUGGAAUGAACCCAUUCGGCAAUCUUAGUUCUCAACAUAGUACUUGGCCGGUACUUUUAGUGAUCUAUAAUUUGCCACCUUGGUUGUGUAUGAAGCGUAAGUACCUUCAAUGCCUGUUACAAGUGGCCACAUCAGUGUGGCCGUGGAGACUAUUGUAAAGGGGUUUGAAGAUUUCUCACUCCCAAUUCCAAUGCCAGCAUGGAGCCUUGAGAAACUAUCAGACGCCCUAGGUAGUUUCGUCACAUGGCCAUAUGCUUGGGUCCGAUUCACUAACAUGCAAAAGAGUCCAAAGAGAUCUUGGAGAGAGGUCGGUUCCUCAACAAAGGUGUCGACUGGGUCAAAGUCGAUGCCAAGCACUCCAAUUUUGACUGAUGAGGAGCUAAAAGAUCUCUCUCAAGAUUGCAAAUGGCUGCAUUAUUGUGCAUCUCGCAUAAGUGAGGAGGACCCAAUCAUUUUGACCCUGCUAAAGGACCCAAGCACUCCAAUUUUUGAGAGGAGAGAUGCUGAACGUAGCUCUUUUCCAUGUCUACAUGAGUGCAGCUUACGAGGAGCUAAAUUCUUGCGAACCUCCAAUAAAAAUUGGAUAGUUUGGUCCGGAGUCGAUUUCGAGUAGUAAAUGUAGAAAUGAUCCAGAUCAGGUCAGAGCAUACAUUGAGACUGCUUUGACUAAUUCCCUUGCAUCUAAACACACAUUCAUUCUGGCUCCAUAUUGGGAAGAUUUGCAUUGGAUACUUUUGAUCAUUUUUCCUUUAACGAACACUGUGCACGUCUUCGACUCAUUACAAAAACCUCAAAGCCCACCUCGCAACACAAGAUUCAAAGCGUUGUUGAAUGCCGCAAUGAAAAGAGUGCGUGGACAAAUGGGAUCUACAUCCAGAGCCACAUUUCCAAAAUGGAUAGCAAGAAAGUGCUUUCAACAACCUUCUUCUUCCGUUGACUGCGGCUACUACGCGCUGAAGUAUAUGAACGAUAUUAUAAAUUCCGUGAAGGACUUUGGAGUCGAAAAUAUAGAUGCCGUUUUAAACGACAUUCUGAGGGAAACACGCCCUUUGAGAAGUGAAGAAAUGCGCAAAUCAAAAGACAAGAUUGCCGCGUAUCUUGCUAAUAUUUGUCCUUG
Molecule: long non-coding RNA, 2688 nt
Organism: Amaranthus tricolor (Joseph's coat)
Lineage: Eukaryota; Viridiplantae; Streptophyta; Magnoliopsida; Caryophyllales; Amaranthaceae
Exons: 7
Source: RefSeq, a predicted model, not a curated record